Molecule: long non-coding RNA, 341 nt
Organism: Sardina pilchardus (European sardine)
Lineage: Eukaryota; Metazoa; Chordata; Actinopteri; Clupeiformes; Clupeidae
Exons: 3
Source: RefSeq, a predicted model, not a curated record
UGCUUACUAAGUUAUAACAGUGCCACAGCUGGUGUCUAUGGGUUAGAGCUGGUUGUGGAGGAUUUCCCCCAACAAAGCAUCAGUCUCUCCUACACAAAUGGUUCCACCGUUUUCAGAAGUCCAUUUAAUCGAGAAGGCAGUCCUCUUAGCAAGCUUCCUCUGCAAUUUGCCAUCAAAGUUGAAACUGCCAUUGCUUCUUGUGUUGAGGGAGAAUACUUGCCAAAGUUCGUUCCUCCAACCCCUGAGAAUGGGGAGACAAUUCUAGCUGUGGUCAACCAGGAGCUGAAGAUCAUAAUAAAUGCAACAGCCUCUAUGGCAGGAAUUCGUGGUCUUUUGAUAAG